This 729-nucleotide ribosomal RNA is filed under the name Parachloritis malukuensis. Its description in RNAcentral is "partial 16S ribosomal RNA". The stretch from base 306 to 545 matches the Rfam family "Archaeal large subunit ribosomal RNA", at positions 1787 to 2143 of the family's 2987-position model. Lineage: Eukaryota; Metazoa; Mollusca; Gastropoda; Stylommatophora; Camaenidae. The record is from RNAcentral.
AUGUGUAAAUUACACGAAAUUAUGUGAGCUAAUUAAUAUUGUGUAUUAUGUAGCAUAAUAAUUACUUGAAUUUUAAUUAGGGGUGAUAGGCCUCUCAAACGUAAGAUAUCUUGAUUCUUAUGAUAUGUAGUAGUACAAAGACAAUUUAGGAGUUAUAAGGCUCUUAAAGAUAAUCAAUUAGAAUUAUAAUAAUGAGUUGGUUUAAUAGCCUGCAUUUUAUUAUAUUAAUAUUAAUUAUAAGUAGAUUAUUUAAAUUAAUAAGAUUCGAGUAAUUUCAAAGUAGGAUAAUAAUGUUUUCAUAAGUAUUAAGAAAUUAUUAAUAGUGAAUUCGGCAUUUUGCUUUCAACUGUUUACCAAAAACAUAGCCGCAUGUAAAUACAUCCGGUAUUUUCUGCUCAAUGAUAAUUAAAUAGCCGCAGUACCCUGACUGUGCAAAGGUAGCGUAAUCAUUUGUCUCUUAAUUGGAGUCGCGUAUGAAAGAAUAAAUGGGGGCAAUCUUUACCAUUAAUAAAGUAAAAAAUUACUUAGUGGGUGCAAAUACCCACAUAUAACUAAUAGACGAGAAGACCCUAGAAAUUUGUAUAAACGUUUUGUUGGGGCAACAUGGUAGCAAGUUAAUCUACUUUAUAUAUAUGACAAGUUUUAGAUAAAUUAAAUUACUCUAGGGAUAACAGCAUAAUCUAUAAAUGUUUGUGACCUCGAUGUUGGAUUAGGGAGUUGUUGUUUAGA